CAAUAGCGUAUAUUAAAGUUGUUGCGGUUAAAAAGCUCGUAGUUGGAUUUCUGCCGAGGACGACCGGUCCGCCCUCUGGGUGAGUAUCUGGCUCGGCCUGGGCAUCUUCUUGGAGAACGUAGCUGCACUUGACUGUGUGGUGCGGUAUCCAGGACUUUUACUUUGAGGAAAUUAGAGUGUUUCAAGCAGGCUUACGCCUUGAAUACAUUAGCAUGGAAUAAUAAGAUAGGACCUCGGUUCUAUUUUGUUGGUUUCUAGAGCUGAGGUAAUGAUUAAUAGGGAUAGUUGGGGGCAUUCGUAUUUAACUGUCAGAGGUGAAAUUCUUGGAUUUGCUAAAGACGGACUACUGCGAAAGCAUUUGCCAAGGAUGUUUUCAUUGA
This 380-nucleotide ribosomal RNA is filed under the name uncultured eukaryote. RNAcentral's name for it is "partial 18S ribosomal RNA". It matches the Rfam family "Eukaryotic small subunit ribosomal RNA", at positions 592 to 976 of the family's 1831-position model. The record is from RNAcentral.